AUUGGGGUGGCAGAGCCCGGAUUACAUGAGACUUAAAACCUUGUUCUCAGAGGUUCAAAUCCUCUCCCCAAUA
Non-coding RNA from Cricetulus griseus (Chinese hamster), 73 nucleotides. The record is from Rfam. NCBI's taxonomy places the organism in Eukaryota, Metazoa, Chordata, Mammalia, Rodentia, Cricetidae.